Molecule: ribosomal RNA, 110 nt
Filed under: Patescibacteria group bacterium
Lineage: Bacteria
Also listed under: 1 other name
Source: RNAcentral
UCUGGUGAUAAUGCCGAACGGGUUCCACCUCUUCCCAUUCCGAACAGAGAAGUUAAACCGUUCAGGGCCGAUGAUAGUGGCUUUGCCGCGAAAGUAGGUUGUCGCCAGUU